AAGUUUCAACAACGGAUCUCUUGGCUCUCGCAUCGAUGAAGAACGCAGCGAAAUGCGAUAAGUAAUGUGAAUUGCAGAAUUCAGUGAAUCAUCGAAUCUUUGAACGCACCUUGCGCUCCUUGGUAUUCCUUGGAGCAUGCCUGUUUGAGUAUCAUGAAAUUAUCAAAGCAAAGUCUUUUUUUUUGUUGUUGUUAAUUCAACUUAAAGUCUGCGCUUUGGAUUUGGAGGUUUUGCAGAUUUAAAUUUCUGCUCCUCUUAAAUGCAUUAGCUGGAUCUCUAUGAACUUGGUUCCACUCGGCGUGAUAAGUUAUCACUCGUCGAGGACACCCGUAAAAAAGGUGGCCAGGAUUUUUCAAGGAUGAGCCGCUUCUAAAUAGUCCAUUGACUUGGACAAAAUUUAUGAUCUGAUCUCAAAUCAGGUAGGACUACCCGCUGAACUUAAGCAUAUCAAUAAGCGGAGGA
Molecule: ribosomal RNA, 462 nt
Filed under: Rhizoctonia solani
Lineage: Eukaryota; Fungi; Basidiomycota; Agaricomycetes; Cantharellales; Ceratobasidiaceae
Description: eukaryotic LSU rRNA
Rfam family: 5.8S ribosomal RNA (bases 1-154)
Source: RNAcentral